UCCAUUGCAAUAUUCUGUUCUCCGGGUGCUGGUGCAAUCAUUGGUCCUUUACCAGAGCUUACAAAGGAGAAAGGUGCAAUCUAUAAAUCUGUAAGCAGGGAGGAGUAUAUAAAAUUUGUACUAAGUAGGAAACCUGUUCGCAAAAGUGCAAUAAAUCUUAUGAAGUUGGAGAACUGAAAGGAUAACCAUGUAUUGUCAAAAGAAUCGAGUUGAAUAAAUUACGUGAUCCAGGGUAAUUUAAGAAAUUUCAAUUUGCUACUAUAGUUAAUUGGGACUAAGCAAACUCAUUGCUACUAAGUGACUCUUUGGAGAGACUCCAAAGAGAAUCCAUAAAGACCAUGAAACUCGAAUGUUUUGUGGUUCUAGAAGUCCCUGACGAGUAGGUCCGGGAGGAUUGGGCAUUUUGUGCAAAAUAAAUGUCUUGUACCAUUUUUCUAUUCCUUAAUAGGAUAUUCAACUUUAUAUUGCUUACCUUUAGCUAUUGUCUCCUGUUUUCUUAGUUUCUCUUAAUUUCAUUGCUUGUAUGGAUAGGCAUGGUUUGUGAUUCAAUUAGUUCUCGUAUGAAUCUAUUUAUUCAGAUUGUUAAUUAGAUAUAUAUAUAUAUAUAUAUUAAGUGAAGUUGAAUGGCACUAAAUAGAUGAAUCGUUCUAAAAAUAUCAUUGUUAUGAUGUUAAGAGAGUGUUGUCUAUAAAUUUUGUGUCAUUCAUGAUUUGAAUCUUAAGAACAAUUAGUUGUGAAAAAAAUUGAUACAAUUUAUCAACACUAUUCGAAUUUGGCACAUUUUUUGAAGGCUUAGGUUGAAUAUAAUGAGGGCCUUAAAAAAAAUUGACACUAAGAGGAUUUGAACCCUUCAAUUACUUGAAAAAAUUGAAAACAACUCAUUCAUUACCAUUAUAUUAUUUGAUUAAAUUCCUAUUGAUCAACAUAACUCGUUUAAUAAACUUUUUUUUUUUUUUUUUUGUCAAUCUGCAUGCCAUGAAUUUGACCCAAAUUAAUAUAUCUAAUAAUUGUGUUAAUUAACCUAAUUAUAAUCAUAACUUAUUUAACUUAUAGUUGACUCAUUUAAAAUUUGAUUUCGAAUAAAUAGGUCAAUUGGUUAAUAAGCAUGUUAGGUUGAGAUGUUAAUUGUAUUAGUUGAAACAAGAUCUAACUCAACUUGAUUAUUAAAUAUUACUUAACUAUUAAAUGAGUUAUAUGACAUAUUACCUGUUCAAUAAUUAAUGUGUUUGGUUUAUAUUUUAAUCUGAUAAUUAUUUGAUUUGUGCUUAAGUUGACCUAUUUAGGCAAGUGCAUGAGUUUUGACACAGCACAAACAUGAUUCACUAACAUGAAUUGUUGUCACCCUUAAAAACAACAAGGGAUUGAUGUAAAUUGAUGCAUCUCUAGCCAAAAGUUUUAAAUUGCACAUAUUCAUCCUCUUGCUAGGUAUCCUGCUUGGUAUUGAAAAUCUCUUUUUAACAAGUAUUAGAAUAAGAAAAUUAUGAAAUUUUUGUGUCAAAAACUCUUUAUAUCAUCAAGACACAUCAAGAGGGUAUUGGAAAAAAAAAAAAUUACCUUAAUUACUACAUUAACUUUACCUUGGUAAAACCAAGUUUCUUACCAUAAGAUUCAUGAAUUCAUACAUGCAUGUUUGUGGUUUACAUUCAUGUAUUUUUAUGGCAUUACUUAGAUUCAUCCUAGAAUAAAUAACUUAAAAGGUCAAAUUCCAAAAUUUAUUACGAAGAAUAAGAUCUGAAGAACCUAAAUUUUGGUUCAUGGUGAGAAGAACCAUAAAGCACACUAUAUCGAGGCUCUUGGUGCUUUUCUUGACUCACAAUUUUUUAAAGCACUUUUCAUUCCCAUCAUUAAGGAUUGCAUAAAAAAAGAGUGAGGGAGCGAAGAUCAAGAUCAUUCAUUGUGGAAAGAACCAUAAAGCACUAUACAUCCAGGCUCUUAGUCCUUUUCUUGACUCACAAUUUUUUAAAGUACUUUCCAUCCCCAUCACUAAGAAUUGCAUACAAAAUGAACAAAUGAGUGAAGAUCAAGAGUGAAUAUCAAGAGGGUUACUUGGGGAUUUUUAAACCAUAUUAAAGUCAACAUUAUAUAUCAAGAUAUGUUUUCUUCUACAUAUGCUAAAUGUCAUUUUUAAGUCUGAUAUUAAACAUCAAAAUGAAAAUUUUUAACAUUUGGUAUCAAGAAUCAAGUUAAUCACUUGUGUUUUUAAUUAUUUAAAAUUUUGAAGUAAAUUGAUUUUUUUUUCUCAUGAUACUUGCUCAUAGUGAUCUUGAGGAACAUAAAUUCUACCUAAUCUAAUUUCUUGACAACCACAAUUGCUCUACUUCAUCAUUCAAAAGAAUCAAAUUUAUUGUUACAUAGCAAUUAAUCAACAAUAGAAAUUUAAUUUAGCAAAGUCUAACUAAUAUUUUGAAGCAAUCUAUUUUUUUUUCUUUUUUUCUUUUUUUUGCACAACAAAUCUUUAUGAUGGUUUUGAGAAAAUUUACCACUACCCAAUACAAAUUCUUUGCAAUUAGAAUUGUUCCACUUCAUCAUUCAAAAGAAUCAAAUUUAUUUUUGUAUCGAAAUUGACUACUAGUAGAAAUUUAAUGUUGCAUAGUUAGGUUAGUUUGGAAACUUACAUUUUUUGUACCAUACUUCUUUAUGAUGAUUUUGAGAAACAUAACUACUACCCAAUAAAAAAAUUUUACAAUCAAAUUUGUUCCACCAAAUGAUUCGAAAAAAAUCAAAUUUAUCGUUAUAUCAAAAUUGACCAUUGAUAGAUAUUUAAUGUUGAAACUGAUUUUGUUUUUUCACACCACACUUCUUUAUGAAGAUUUUUAGGAACAUAAUUACUACCAAAUAAAAUUUCUUUACAAUCAUAAUUGCUUCUAAAAAAUGAAUGUGGUAUAAAUUGAGGGUGGUUUUUCAAGUGCAUAUAGUGGCAGUGACUUGCGCAAGUAAAGUGGGAAGGAGAUUUGCAAUUCCUUAGAAUCAAAAUUUUGUCACAACCAGACCACAGUUCCUUUGUUGCCAAUAUUUAGGAGAAUGAGAACCCCAUACUCCUAUUAGGAUGUGAAGGAGAUACACAUAGCUUUGAAAAAUAAAUCUAAGACUUGAUUGAGUUUUGCAUAUGAAGCUCUUCUCAUUAACUUUGAAAAAUAAAUCCAAGACUUGAUUGAAUAGUCUAAGGCCCUGCAACAUCAAAACUUGCAAUAAAUUAUAGCUUGUUUUCUUAUAAAAGUUCUUUCCACCUCACAAGAUCAAUGCACUAAAGAAGGAAAUUUCAAACUAUAGAGCAUGAAGAACGAGAAAUUUUUGUCCAAUGGGAGAUAUUCAAGGAGAUAGUCAUAGCCUACCCUCACCAUAGCUUUGAUGACUAGAUGUUAGUGUCCUACCUUUACAAGGGUAUGUCUCUUCCGAUGAAGCAACUCCUUGAAUGAUGCAUGGUAGGGAUUUCAUGAAUUAGAGUCUUGAAAAAGGAUUCCAAUUUCUCUAUAAUUAUGUUGCAAAAGUAUCCAGAAGUUAAGACGACUUGAUCAUCUAAGAACAAUUAAGGGACAAAGGGGUGAACAAGCCAAGAGCCAUUAGAGUGUAAACACUCUCAAAUGGUUUAGAUUUCCGAGCAAAAAUUGCUACUAUUGUAAAGAGGUUAGAUGAUUUAGAAAGUAAAGGAUUUUGAGAGGUACAAAGGAUCACUCAACCAUGUAUGAUUUACAAGUUUGUGGAAUAGAGGUCUCCUUCUUACUCUACUUUUAGUAUAUGAUAUGCUUCCAAAGCAUGCAAAUGUCAUUGGAAGCUAUGCACUACUCAUGAACAACUCAUUUUUCUCAUGUACUAUUUAUCUAAAUUGGAGAACAUGCAAAUUUUUCAUGGAGUAGAAACAACAAUGGCACGUUUUAGUAGUAAGGAAAUCAAUUCCAAGCCAAUCAAAGUGGUGGUCUACUAAGAAAUUUCUAUAGCAAUCUUUAUCUUUAUCAUUAACCCAAGGUUGGAGAACUUAAUAAGGCAAUUCAUGCAACAAUAAAGCAAGUUUAAUGAAAAUCGGCUAAAAAUAAAUGCUUAAACAUCGUAGGUUACUUCAAACAUUUGGAAUGUCUUAAGUCAAAUCACUUUAAGCUUACCACAGGACAAAAACAAGUUCUCUACUCGGGCACAUCAAAAUCCAAAGGGAACAUGUAAUGCUUUUGAUAUUAAGAAUGAAGCAAGACAUUAGUCACACUUUGAAAUUGUAAGGCCCUAGUUAUAGAUCUAACUUUUAUUUUAAAAUUAAUCAUGGCUUUAAGGGAGGAAAAUAAUAGUAAAUACAAGGUUCAUUUUCAACCAAGGAAGAGGAAAAAGCCAAUUAUGUAUAAAUAAAAUACUACUUUAGAUUUGUGAAGCAUGAAUAGAUCCAAGAAAAGACAAAAUAAGCAAGUCAUGGGCAUGAAAUACGGGAAAUUAAUAUUAUAACAUGAGGUAGAGGGCAAACAACUAAGAGUGAGGAGGUUUGAAGCAAGUGUAACAAGUUUAAAAUGAAAUUUGAAACUCAAACUAAAGGCAACAACAUAAUACAUGAAUUUGAGCUAAAUUUUGGAGUACUUUUAGAUUGUCUUUUAAAGCCAACUACCUAUGGUUUUAAAGCUUAAGAAGUCAAAAAUCCAAUGUUGGGUUGGAGCUUUUAAAAACAAGACAUGAAGCAACAAAGUAGAAUAUGAGCUUCCACAUUUCUAUCCAUCAUUUGCACUAAUAUUGAUUUGAGUAUUCAGACCUAUAUCAUUUGCAUUGUACAUGACUUUGGUGUAUUAAGAGUUUCAUAGAAGAUACAAGUUAUGGACUCCUUGCAAGAUAAUAAGUAGUUCAUAAUCGGUUUAUGGAUUUGAGUAAUCCAAUAGAGGAGAUAGUACAUUGAUAAGUAGCUUACAGUCAGUUCAUGGAUUUAGACAAUGUAGUAAAGGUUGUAGUGCACUAUCUCCUAAUUGGAGGAUAACUUGUCUUGGUUGUCGGGAUGAAUUUCUCAUGUUGAGUGUACUAGUGUGAAUGGUUACACAUUGGAUAUAACCUACAUUAAAUUAUGACGUAAAACUAUUAGAUUAUUAUGAUUCACUAGGCCACUGUAUUACAUGAACCCUCAACCUUGAGAAGAUAUUGAACCUAUGGUGAAAUCAAAAUGAGGUCUUAACCUAUGAAUGAGAUCCUAAUGUGAUGAUAUACCCCUAUAGAUUGAGUCAUUAUUGAUAGAAGAUGGUAAUGAUAGAUAUUCUCAAUAGAGGCACCAUAAUAUCUCAUGGGAUUAAGACAAUUUUCUCCCAUGAGUGAUCUAAAGGACAUGUGUUCAUAAAAUUUGUAGUCAUAGUAAUUCCUUAAGGGGGUGUUUGGUACACGGGAAUAGGGAGUGAGAAUAGACAUCUCAUUCAUUUUCUCCCUUAUUCCUAUGUUUGGAUAAAUGUUAAGAAGGUGAAAAUGAAAUAAAAAAUUAUUUCGGCAGAAAUCAAAUCCAACUUAUGAGUCGGAUUUGCAUUCAUUAAAAGUAGGUGGUAUUCUGAUUCAUUAAACCUAUUUGAUAAUAUAAAAUAACUUAAAUUACUAUUUUACCCUCUUAUCUUGUUCUUUAAACCCGAUGUUUAUCUUCUUUGCAAAGGUAGAGAUCCAUUCAUCAUCCACUUCUUAUCUUCUUUGCAAAGCUAGAGACCCAUUCAUCAUCCAAUUCUCUGCAACAAGUGAUUCUUCCAAAUUGAAUCAAUUAAACCUUCCACGAUAUUUAAAAAAAAAAAAUCAAUUUAUAAUUUAUAGGGUUUUGGAUGUACAUUUUGAUUGUUGGAUCUAGGAUUCGUCAUUGUUUGCUACAACUAGGUUCUGAAAACCCCCUUCUACAUCUUCGAUCAGGUUUACCUUAUUUUCUCUUUCUUCUUCUACUUCUUUAUAUGUGUUUCUUCUUCUCUAUAAAUCGAUUAUUUUUUUUUUUUUAUAAAUUUAUGUUUGGAAUCUUUGAUGUUUCUUUAUCUUGUAUUAAUGGAAUCUGGAGAGAAAAAUUAAAAUGGUUGGAAAAAGAUUUUUCGAUUUCACGUGUUUACAAUAUUGAAAAUUUUUAAUGGUUAGGAAAAAAAUAAAAAGAAAAAAACAAACAAAAACAAAACUUUUGGUUUUUUUUUCCCCUUUGUUUAUUAUUAUCGGCGUCUUCCUUUCCUAGUUAAAGCUAUGGAUUCUGCCGUCUCGCAAAAAAUCUGCUGCGUUUCCGGCUCAUUUUGGAACUUUAGCAUGGGCCACAGUGAAGAUCUCUUCAUAUCAUUACUAUUUAACAAUAAACAAACCAUUAAGCACCGAGAAACCAACAUUGAUUAAUUUUUUUAUUCCAGCUGCUAUUGAUCUAUAUGGGCCCAACUUUAUGGUUAAUUUUUUAUUUAUUGAGUAUAUUUAUAUGUUUUUAGUCUUAUUAUUUAAUAACAAAAAACCUCUCAAAUUUUAUUUUUUUAAAAUACAAGUAAAAAUAAAAAAAUAUUUUAAAUUAUAUGUAAGGAUAUUAUUAUAAAUUUAUUUCUUUUUCAUUUUCAUUCCUAUUAUUAUCAAACAUUGGAAUGGAAACAAAUAAUCAUUCCAAUCUUGCAUUCCUAAGUUCAUCCAAAUGCUAGAAAUGGGAUCAUCAAAUUCAUUCCAUUUCAUUAAGAAAUAGGAAAGGAAACAAAAUAUUAUUUCUAUUCCCUAUUCCGACGUACCAAACACCCCUGAAGUGGAAUUUGACAUAUGUUUUUUAUGAGUUAAAAUAUUCAAUUGAUCACAUAAUAGGAGGAUUUGUAACUUAAAGAUUGAAAAAGUAAUCUUGAUGGGUUAAUAACACUAACCUAUUAGAUUAUGGGCAUUAGUUCAUGAGGAGUCCACAUGCAAUGAACUAAUGGAUUUUGACUAAAAAACCUGUAAGUGUCAAAUGGAUUUAUUAGAUAAAGUAUAAACUUGAUGGUAAAGCUAAUCGAUUUAAAGCAGCAAAAGGUUAUAAAUAGAUCUAACUCAUAAAAGGUGAAAAUUUUACCAAAUGGAUGUGAAGUUAGCUUUAUAAUUACUAAAAAGGUUUUUGUUGAACAACCACCAUGAUAUAAAGGGAAAAAAAACAAGUUUACAAACUCAAAAUGGCAUUGUAUGGGUUACAGUAGACCACAUGCUUAGUACACAUGAAUUGAUGCUUAUUUAUUAUGAAAAAAAAAAAAAUUGUAUGUAUCAUUUUAUUAAAAGGAUAAUCUAUUAAAAGAGGUGGAAUCAUUUCCACUUUAUAAAACUAACCCUUCAUUUAUUUUUAAUUUAAAAAAUAAUCGAUUUAGAAAAAAAAAUGUCUUUAUUUUUUUCUUGUAAAAUAAUUAUUUUUUUUUAAAAAAAACACACUUAUAAAUAAUAGAAGUGUUAAAGGGUAUUUAUGUCAAAAUUAGAUUACUCUUCAAGUUCAAAACGGGAUAUAUUAGUUUUACAAAUUUAAAAUUUUUUCAUCCUUUUAAUGGAUUAAUCCUUUAUUAAAUUAAUAGAAUUUUUAAGUUUCGUUUUUACGCACGUGUUUUUAAAGUUCACGACAUUUGUGUCUAAAAUAUAAAAUGUCAACAAGCGACACGUCAGUUUUUGGUAAACAUCGUUCUCAAAAGGAAAAGAAAAAAUGCAAAUAAAAGGCCACAGAGUACAGAGCAAGAAGCUGAGCAAAGAGAAAGUGGCACCAAGAGAAGACAAAAAAUGGUGGGUUCGCUUCCAGUUGCAAAUGUCCAAGCUCUUGCUUCCAGCUACUCCGGUGAUGUGCCACUCCGGUACCUACGGCCGGAACUCCUCUCAGAAGAAGUUUUGGUGGAUGAGUCUCUUCAAAUUCCCACCGUAGAUAUGAGGAAGCUCCUGGUUGAUGAUGAUGAAAUGAGUAAACUUCACUUGGCCUGUAAAGAAUGGGGUUUCUUUCAGGUAUAAUUAUUUUUAUAUGUUUGAACCGGGUUUAUUAUCUCUUGGGAUUUUUAUCAAGUUCCUCUUUUGGGCUGCUUCUAUGCUUUUUUUUUUUUUCUUGGAAUUUCUCUUGGUUUAAUGAAUAAUUUCAUUUUCAACAGCUAUUGUAUAUAGAUUCUUGUAAACAAUUCUUUUCUGGGUUUUUAAGAAGGGAGGGAUUGGGUAAGAAUACAUAUGCAUAUGCAGGGAUUUUGUUUUGGAUUAUAGAUUUGUUUUGAGGACUGAAGGUUUUGGUUAGGGUUUUGUAUGGAACCCCAAAGGUAGAACAGAUAGAGACUAUUACAAUCUAGGAAUUUUCUACCAUUUAUCCAUGAUAUGGUAUGUACAAAAUGAUAAUUUCUAAAGUAAAGAUUGGGAGGUUAUGAUUAAUUCUCUUCAAUUCAAAGGCCUAAAAAAUGAUCAUACAUCUGAUAUAUGAUCAUCACCCUCUAAAGUGAUUCUUCUGUAUUAUUCUCAGUUAUUGUUGAAAUUUUAAGUCAUUUAAGUCACAGAUGUAGCUGAACUUGAAGCUGAGUUUGUUGGAUGGUUUUACCUUAUACCUCAAUGGGUUACUGUCUUAUUCUAAAUUGAGCAUAUUAUCAUCAAACAGUUAAUAAAUCAUGGGGCAGCCGAAGAAGUAAUUGAGAAAAUGAAGGCAGAUGUUCAAGAAUUCUUUAAAUUGCCACUAAAGGAGAAGAAUGCAUAUGCGAAACUACCAAAUGGGGUUGAAGGUUAUGGCCAAAACUUUGUUGUUUCCGAAGACCAGAAGCUUGAUUGGGCUGAUAUGCACUUUCUUCAAUCCCUGCCAGCCUCUGAAAGAAAUAUGAGGUUCUGGCCUGAAGAACCCACUUCUUUCAGGUAAAUAGGUUAACUACUCUGAUUGAAUGAAUUCUUGUUGAUGACUGUUGUCCUUGAAAAACUAUUACGCUUCAUAUAAUUUUUUAAAAUGUGAAAGAACAUUGAGCACAAAAAUGAGCUUAAUAGUGAAAAAAUAUACCCACUCGUUGGCACUUUGCUUAAGUUUCCUUUUGUAUGUCAGGGGAACUUUGGAAAAGUACUCAUUGGAGCUUGUAAAAGUUUCAAACUGCCUUCUGAAGUUGAUGGCUAAGAACCUUUUGAUAAAUCCUGAGCAGCUCACAAAUAUGUUUGACGUUGGAAGACAAGCAGUGAGAAUGAAUUACUAUCCGCCUUGUGUGCAUGCAAGCAAGGUAAUAGGUCUCACUCCCCACUCAGAUUUCGGAGGACUUACCCUACUUGUUCAAGUCAAUGAAGUGCAAGGCUUGCAAAUUAAGAGAAAUGGUAAAUGGAUACCAAUUAGGCCUGUCCCUGGUGCGUUUAUCGUCAACAUUGGUGACGCUAUUGAGGUAACUAAUCCUAAAUUCUCUUAAAUAACAUUAUAUUGUUAAACCAAACAGGCAAAUCUCGUAUUGUUGUUUAUUGGCAGACUGAAAGUUGACAAAUGAAAUUCUUGAAUGGUUAAUUUCAUUUGUGAGCAGAUAAUGAGCAAUGGGGAAUAUAAGAGCAUAGAGCAUAGAGCAGUGGUGGACCCAGAAAAGGAACGACUCUCCAUUGCAACAUUCUGUUCUCCGAAUGCUGGGGCAAUCAUUGGUCCUUUGCCAGAGCUUACAAAGGAGAAAGGUGCAAUCUAUAAAUCUGUAAGCAGGGAGGAGUACAUAAAAUUUGUACUUGGUAGAAAACUUGAUGGCAAAAGUACAAUAAAUCAUAUGAAGUUGGAGAACUGAAAGGCCAUGAUAACCAUGUAUUAUCGAAGGAAUUGAGUUGAAUAAAUUAUGUGAUCCAUAAUUUAAGAAAAUUUCAAUUUGCUACUAUAGUUAAUUGGGACUAAGCAAACUCAUUGCUACUAAGCAACUCUUUGGAGAGACUCCAAAGAGAAUCCAUAAAGAGCAUGAAACUCGAAUGUUUUGCGGUUCUAGAAGUCCGUGAAUCAUUCUCAAAAUAUCAUUGUUAUGAUGUUAAGAGAGUGUUAUUGAUAAAUUUUGUGUGUCAUUCUUGUGUUGAAUCUUGAGAAAAAUUAGCGGUGAUAAAAUUUAAAACAAUUUAUCAAUACUAUUCGAAUUUGACACAUUUUUUGUAAAUUUAGAUUGAUUAUAAUAUUAUUUGAUUAAAUUCGUGUUGACCUAUAUAACUUAUUUAAUAAAUAGAUUAUUUUUUUUAUUAACCUAUAUGACAUGAAUUUGACCCAAAAUGACCUAUUUAAUAACCGUGUUGAUUAAUCAAAUUAUAAUCAUAACCAAUUUAACUUAUAUUUGAUUGAUUUAAAAUUUGAUUUUGAAUAAAUAGGUCAAUCGACUAAUAAACAUGUUAGGUUGAGAUGUUAAUUAUAUUGGUUGAAACAAAGAUCUAGUCCGACUUGAUUAUUAAAUGGGACUUAACUAUUAAAUGAGUUAUAUAAUAUAUUACAUGUUUAGUAAUUAGCGUGUUUGGUUUAUAUUUUAAUUUGAUUAUUAUUUGAUUUGUGCUUAAGUUGACCUAUUUAGUCCAAUGCAUGAGUUUUGACACAUCACAAACACAAUUCACCAACAUGAAUUGUCACCCCUAAAACAAUAAGAGAUUUAUGUAAAUUGAUACAUUUCUAGUAGGGAUGACAACGGGAUGGUUUCAUGAUAGGUCAUCAUCCCAAUCCUGCCCUAUUUAUUCAAAAUAUUUUUCAUCCAUGUCUCAUUAAAAGAAUUAAAUGGAGCGGGGGAGGGGCGGCGUGAGUAUGCAAAUUUCUCAUACUCAUCCCAUACCGCUUCAUUUAACCUUUUUUUUUAAAAAAAAAAAAAUUUCAAAAUAUUUAACUAUAUUAAAAUAAAUGUCUUUUAUAAAUGAUUAAAAUAUUAUAGUUUUUUAUAACUUAUUUGAUCGAAAGAUAUUUUUAUUUAUUAUUAUUAUUAUUAAAAAUAAGAAAAUAAAAAUUAAUUUAAUUUAAAAAUCAACCAAACCAACUUUAUUUACACUCUUAUUUGUUUUUUACAAAACGAUAAAUUAAAAACUACGAAAAAUAAAUUUAUAUUAUUGAAAAUCUUUAGAUUACCUUUUGAAAAAUUCAAAAUCGAGUAAAAAAUUGUUUCAUCAUUUAAUUAUUUCGAGAACCAUUUCAUUUCUAACUCAAAAUUCAACGAACUUUUCUUCAUAAGUUCUUUUUAUCUUUCUUUUCAAAAAAAAAAAAGAGUUUAAAGAGUUUAAGAGAAAGAAUUUUUUUGAUUUAUAUAUUUAAUGGGGUGAUUUUUGAGCAAUUUCUAGUAGUUCCAAUUCUCAGAACCCCUUCCCCUAGAUCUUUGAUUUGUUGGGUUGGGUUAGGUCGGGUUAAACCACUUCAUCACCCAAACCCAACUCCAACAUAAACUAUGGUAUGGUAAAAAUUUAAUUAUUUUUAAACAAAAGAAAAUAUCUAUUUUAAAGGAUAGGAUAAGAUGGGAUCUCUGAUAACAAAGAGACAAUAAUAAUUCUAUCCAUUGAACCUGAUAUCAUGAAUUUUAUAAUGUGGUAUUUUGUUAGAAGUGGGUCCCUAUCACUUAUGCCUCCCCCAAGUUAGCCUCCACCCACCUGCCCUUCUUUAUCUACAUCACCCUAUCUUCAAUAAAAAAAGUCACAUCAUUUUCAAUAAUUUAUAGCUGUGGAUUUUCUUAGGUCUUGCGUAUUCCUUAUUUUGAAUUUUCAAUGUGCUUCUAGAAGACACAAAAAAUAUAUUAUAACGUUAACGGGGGACUUGUGAAGUUUCCCAGGGACUUUCCCGGAAAGGAAAAUUGUGGGGGAAUAAAAGAAUUCGUGAAAUGGUUACUGGGAAACUUUGGUUUGACGUUUUCUUCAUAUCCCCCCUUCUGCAAUCUGAAAAAAAGAAAGUUGACGACAUGAAUCUACUCAAGAAAAUUAAUAUUGUUUGGAAGGAUGGCAUCACAUUUGACGAAAAUCUCUUUGACGGGUUUUGAAUUUUUGAAAAAUCAAGACGGAUUCGGAUCUUGUCUUGCCAUAUAAAAUUUAGUUUAAAAAAUUAAUUUUAAUUUCUUUAUUUAAAAUGAAAAUGAAAUCAUCCGUUACCAGGAAAGACUGUAAGAAAUGAAAUUGUUGGUCCGUGGGUAACAUGCGGACCCUAUAGUUUCCAGUCUCGACUGUAAGUACAUAAUUAGAUCAGGUGUUUACCAAAAACACCUGUCUUGUUUUAGAUCAGGUGUUUGCUUUUGCAUGUGCUCAAACCAUGAAAAUCUACUUCCAGUGUGGCAGUGUCAUUGAAUGAUUUGUGAACUUGUUCUAUGCCUUGUAAUUCUUGCAACUUUUUAUGAGUUCUACAUUUGUUUUAGCUGGCUGAUAAGAUGUUUCUUACUUUGCUUUGAUCUGCCUUUAGGCCCUUGCAGCUGAGAUGGGCCCAGACACUCGUGUAAAUUGUGCUGCGCCUGGUUUUGUACCAACACACUUUGCCGAAUUCCUCACGAAAAAUGCUGAGAUUGUAAGUGCAUUUCUGGCCUGGUACUCAGGUGUCUAGCUUUCAAUACUGGAGUUUGUCAAGGACUAGCUAUGGGUUUGGAUAUUUCAAUUUAUUUUAUUCUUUCAUGCAGAAGAAGGGCAUUGAGGAUAAAACUCUACUAAACAGGCUUGGAACCACCAAGGAUAUGGCUGCAGCCACGGCCUUCCUGGCUUCCGACGAUGCUUCUUAUAUCACUGGAGAGACGCUGGUAGUGGCUGGUGGAAUACCUUCUAGACUCUAGUCCUUUUUUCUCUGAUUUGUACUAGUCUUGCAGUAAGGCAUGGUAUUCAAGUACACAAAUAAUAAAGAUUUGAGGAAGAUCUUCAGCGCAGUUCUCAAUGCAAUAAUAAACAUGUUCUCUUCUUUCAAAGUAGGAAUUAGCAGCUUUACCGUAGAAGAAUAUGAUGAAGAUGAGAGUUGAUCAGAAUCAAAUAGUUGCAAAGAAAUACAUACCAAAUAUUACUGCCCCGAAGAAGAAAGAACAAACAUAAAUAUUUGAUUAUUCUUCUACCCUCCAUGCUAGAAUUGAAUGUGUCUGAAGAAAAGCAACAUUGGCAUAUGCAAACGGGAACCCCUUUUUAGAGAACCCCAUGCAGCUUAUGUACAUAGAAUCAGCUAGAAUCAAAACGUGUAGCAUCAUCACAAUACAUCAUUUUUUCCUAUCUGCUUGGAGAAGGAAAACUUUUCCCCCCAUUGGAUUCCCCCAUUAGAACCCCAAAGCACAUAAAAUAAAAGCCUGACUAGAUAACCUUAUCCUCGCUUAUUAUGCAUCUUCUUCGGGUCUUCCUGCUCUGCAUCUACUAAGCCUACUUUACAUAUGCUUAAAAAAAACCUGGAAAGGGAAGAAGAGUGGUCUUGGUGCCUUUUUUCUUUUUUCUUUUUUUUCAAAACCUUUCAAUAUUUACUCGUGAUAUCCUUUAGCAAAAGAAAGUUGAGGCGUGGCAUGGCAUGGCAUAUCUACACGGGAACCACAUCUUUAUUAUAAAUCUGUAAAUCUAUAAAUCUGUAAGCAGGGAGGAGUAUAUAAAAUUUGUACUAAGUACAAAACUUGAUGGCAAAAGUACAAUAAAUCUUAUGAAGUUGGAGAACUGAAAGGAUAACCAUGUAUUGUCAAAAGAAUCGAGUUGAAUAAAUUACGUGAUCCAGGGUAAUUUAAGAAAUUUCAAUUUGCUACUAUAGUUAAUUGGGACUAAGCAAAC
Molecule: long non-coding RNA, 13557 nt
Filed under: Vitis vinifera (wine grape)
Lineage: Eukaryota; Viridiplantae; Streptophyta; Magnoliopsida; Vitales; Vitaceae
Description: long non-coding RNA (VVIN_LNC000417)
Source: RNAcentral